Populus trichocarpa (black cottonwood) is the source of this 1205-nucleotide long non-coding RNA. RefSeq lists it as uncharacterized. NCBI's taxonomy places the organism in Eukaryota, Viridiplantae, Streptophyta, Magnoliopsida, Malpighiales, Salicaceae. The transcript is spliced from 2 exons. The record is from RefSeq and is a predicted model, not a curated record.
UUUUAAUGUGAAAUAUUGAUACUACAAAUCUUUUAAUGUGUUUAUAUUUACCUAUUAUGAUCAAUUCGCAAAUGGUCGUAGCAAAGUUAAUUGAAGAUUUGGCUAAAUAAAUAUAAUUGAAAUUAUUUGAUUGACAUAGAUUGAAAUAAAAUCAACUAGUUUGUGGCAAUCCAAUUUAAAUUGUUAUGUAUUUGCAAGUUUAAAAUUUUUGGGUAGUCUCUCGUAUAGGGGACAAGUUGCCGAUUUGUUUUAAAUAGGAAUGAUUUACAACACCUUAAUCUUUUAAUUUGUGUAGAUGUCUAGGAAAAAGUCAAUAGCACGUCGUAUGGACAUGACCGCUACAAGUUUUUCUAGCAUUGAUUCAGACGACUAUGAGUCGUUAGGUGUCGCCCAAGAAUAGGAACCUAAGACACAGGCAUCCACUCACGAGUGUGAUGCCACCACGUCGAGAGGGGGUCCCUUCACAACAGGAUCCAUUUACCCAGCAGCUCAAUUCCGUUCGUUUCGCUUGCAAAACAGGUGCCAUAGUUCUUGGAAGCGGACCAAGCCUAAUAGAGCUUUAUAUGGACACAUUUUUGUGAAUUGAUGACAGUAAAAAAGGGGUGCAACAACUCGUGGACAACUGGUCUCAACACUUUGUGGUAUGUUGUUUUCAGACAAUUAUUCUCAAGUUAUUAUUUUUUGAAAUUUCCUGACUUUUUUUCUAGGAUAUAUAUAACACUAGUUGAAGGAGAUAUAAUGACAAUCCUUCAACCCAUCCAGAUCUCGAUCCGGAUUUAUGGUUGGAUGCAGAAUUGUCUGGUGAACCCUAUAGAAAUCAGGUAUAUGAUCUCUCUAAUACUACAGUCGAGGGCUUGCGGACGGCCAACAAUGUUUCAAUCAUUGGAUACUUGCAAUAGGUUUCAAGCACUCAAAUUCCGGAGUUCGAGGCGAUUUUAGACAAGCAAGUUUAAGCUUGGACGACCCAUCAUGCUAUUGAUUAUGAACAACUCAGUAUUAAAUUGGUUAAACUCCACUGAUUUGUAAUGGAAACAAGAUCAUAGAUAGACGAUACAUCAACUCCCACUUAUUUGCCCCACAUUCCCGGAGAUGACCCGUCUUCUCCUCCUUCUCCAGUACCUCUAUUCUAGAUUAAUUGUAUUUAAACUUAUAAAUAUUUAAAUUUAUAACAAAUAUUUGAUUUUUAUAUUAUUUUAUUUUAUUUU